This 468-nucleotide ribosomal RNA is filed under the name uncultured bacterium. Its description in RNAcentral is "partial 16S ribosomal RNA". It matches the Rfam family "Bacterial small subunit ribosomal RNA", at positions 28 to 507 of the family's 1533-position model. The record is from RNAcentral.
GAUGAACGCUGGCGGCGUGCUUAACACAUGCAAGUCGAACGGAAAGGCCCUGCUUUUGUGGGGUGCUCGUGUGGCGAACGGGUGAGUAACACGUGAGUAACCUGCCCCUGUCUUUGGGAUAACAUCAGGAAAAUGGGGCUAAUAUCGGAUAGGAGCUCUUGCUGCACGGUGGGGGUUGGAAAGUUACGGCGGUUGGGGAUGGACUCGCGGGUUAUCAGCCUGUUGGUGGGGUAGUGGCUUCCCAAGGGUUCGACGGAUAGCCGGCCUGGGAGGUUGACCGGCCACAUGAGGACUGAGGUACGGCCCAGACUCCUACGGGAGGCAGCAGUGGGGAGUAUUGCGCAAUAGGCGGGAGCCUGAGACAGCAGCGCCGCGUGCGGGAUAACGGCCUUCGGGUUGUAAACCGCUUUCGCCUGAGACAAGGCGGGAGUGACGGUAAUGAGUAAAGAAGCACCGGCUAACUACGUG